GCAGUGCAGUGCAAACCACGGCAGCAGCAUUUGCUGGCUUUCAUCUCUUCAGUCCCUCCUUAGAGGCUGCCUGUGCUAACCAUCUGCACCCAACCCAGGCUUUGGGUUUUCAGUGGUAACUACAGGUCUCCUGAAAAUGUUGUCACCUGGCAGCCUGGGAGGUGGAGGGCCCCUCAGCUGAUGUGUAAUAACCAUAGGCACUUUGGAGGAAAAAAAAAAACUGCUGAAGGCUAUACAUUGAUGAAAAAAUUAGCAUUUAUCAGUAUAACACCAUUAUGAGACCAGCAUGGCACUAACAUACACAAAAUCUAAAUCUAUUUUUCUGCUUAGACUUAGGAAAACCUGAAAGACUGUGAUCUCACCAGGCAGAAAACGUCUCCUUGCAGUAUAAGCACUGAAAGUAAUUGGGCAGAAGCAAAUAAUUUGCAUAUAAUUGAACAAGACAUAAUAAAAAAACCACCCCAGCAAAGGGAUGAGCCAGCACCAAAAGGCCAUUCAUUACCUGCACUGAGUUCAACCGGCAGUAUCCGUUCAAGGGAAACCUGAUAACGUGGGUUGGGUCCUGGUUCCAGCCUGCGUUUACAGAG
Pipra filicauda (Wire-tailed manakin) is the source of this 587-nucleotide long non-coding RNA. RefSeq lists it as uncharacterized. The record is from RefSeq and is a predicted model, not a curated record. Lineage: Eukaryota; Metazoa; Chordata; Aves; Passeriformes; Pipridae. The transcript has 3 exons.